AUGCGCGCUCCAUGUGGCGUCCACAAUGAUCUCCGACCACUGCCCCAUGCUUCUUAUAGGCGAGCAGCAAUACAAGACGACAGGUGCUUCCGUUUUGAGGCCUUUUGGUUCAAACUGCCUGGGCUGGAGCAGAUUGUGGCCACGGCUUGGAACAUACCAGUGCUGGGCACAAAUGCGCUUAGGUCCCUCCACAUCAAGUUAUCCAGAACAGCUAGCGCGAUCCAACGAUGGAGCUCGGAGACGGUUGGGAAUCUCAGGCUCCAAUUUGCGGUGGCCUCGAAAAUAAUUCCAAGGCUUGAUCAAGCCCAAGAGGAGAGGGUUCUGACUCAGGAGGAGUUGGGUUUCCGCAAAGCCCUCAAACAUAGGUUGCUGGGCAUCGCGGCGGUGGAAAGCACGAGAAUGUGUCAGCGUUCGCGACAGAUCAGGAUUUGGGACAGGGAUACUAGCACCAGGUUCUUCCACAUUAAGGCAAGCUCUAGGAGAAGGCGAAAUUUCACAUCAGGAUUCGACAGAUCAGGUUUCAGGACGGGGAUGCCAGCAACAGAUUCUUCCACAUCAGAAAUGAAAUAA
This 570-nucleotide ribosomal RNA is filed under the name Triticum aestivum (bread wheat). Its description in RNAcentral is "partial small subunit ribosomal RNA". Lineage: Eukaryota; Viridiplantae; Streptophyta; Magnoliopsida; Poales; Poaceae. The record is from RNAcentral.